UUUGAGGCCCCUGGGCCUUUCUCAGAGCAGGCCAGUCUACUAGACCUGGACUUCGAGCCCCUUCCACCAGUGGCAAGCCCUGUGAAGGCACCCACACCCUCUGGUCAGGUUGGUUGUGCCCACCAAUGCCCAUCCAUCAGCCUCAGGACCAAGCCUUGUGCUUGUGUGAACUACAUAGGCUCCAGUCUUUGUGGGGGUGGGAGGUGUGAGGCCUUUUGCCCAGUGACCUAGACCUUAUCCCAGUCCUUAGCCCGCUUGACUUCCUUUGGAUGUAGAACAGAUGUGGGCUAACUGGGUUGCUCUCACUCAGGGCAUAUCUCACAACCUCUGGUCAUUCCAGCAUCCUGCCCCUUCAUUAGCUACCCUGUGGGCCUCCCUGAGCUGGGGUCUGAAGCCAUUAGAGUCAAGCUUGGAGCCUGCAGGAUUGGGUUGUGAGUGGGGUCCCUUGGUGAGCUUGCUACCCUGUCUCUAACCUGCUAACUGACUUUGUCCUUUUCCUGUUACUGCUGCCCUUAGUCAAUCCCAUGGGACCUCUGGGAGGUAAGCCACACACUUGUUCUGCACCAGUCCUGCACCCCUGGGGGCUGUCUCUCUUUGUGCAACACCUCCCUCACUCCUUUAUCCAGUCUCUCUAUGGCAUGCUUGCUUAUCUGUGCUCGUGUACACAGGGUGCAGGGAGACUGCAUCCCUUUAUCAGGACCUUGGUAAUGGGGCUCCUUGGUAC
RNAcentral lists this long non-coding RNA (724 nucleotides) under Rattus norvegicus (Norway rat). RNAcentral describes it as "long non-coding RNA NONRATT013293". The record is from RNAcentral. Lineage: Eukaryota; Metazoa; Chordata; Mammalia; Rodentia; Muridae.